UCAGUAUACUCAUAUUUACAAAUUGAAAACCUCUCUUCUCUCUACUCUCUUCUCUCUCUUCGAAUCCUAAGACUCCCAACUCUGUCGCCCUAAGCAGCCGAGUAGAUUGACGUCUUGUCGUUGCCCGAUUGAAGGAGAAGCUGCUCCGGUGGCACUGGAAACAACUCAACAUCUCUAAUCCCAUUGGUUCUCGAUUUCAGUGAUAAUGAGGUAUGUGAAACCACUAUGCUUGUUUCAAGAUUUGGUUAAGACGACAAAUGCACUCGAACGAGGUCGAUUUUUGGGCUUAGAUGUUGGUGGUAAAUACGUCGGACUUGCAGUUUCAGACCCAGAUAACAAAAUUGCAAUACCUGUAAGUGUUUUACUCCGAAAGAAAUCCAAUAUUAACAUGAUGGCUGCUGAUUUCACAAGUUUGAUAUCAGAGUUUUCUCUAUCAGGCUUUGUUGUUGGUUGCCCUUUCGAUAGACAGCGUCCAAGUGCAGAUGCUGCGCAAGUGAAAGUUUUUGUAGAUGAUCUGUGCAACACUGGGAAACUAGAAGGUGUGAAAUAUACAUAUUGGAACGAGUGCUAUACGUCAAAGAAUGUCGACUUACUUUUGAAGCCACUGUCGUUACAUCCAGUGGAAUUAAAAACUAUGCUUGACAAAUUUGCCGCCGUGGGAAUUUUGCAGGGGUAUCUGGAUUAUGUCAACCGGUGUGGCGUGAAUCCUGAUGUCAAAGAUCAUGCUGGGAACAGCGCAGCUACCUUCACGACUUCACCCUCAUCCUCCAUCGAUCUUCGAUCUUCUUCACCCUCAUCCUCCAUCGAUCUUCUUCACCCUACACCAGGCGCAGCAACAUUUAGAGAGAGUUUCGCUGGAACCGUAGGCCACAGCCGCCGCCGCCGCCGCCUCCAUUGGAGAAUGCCCACUGAAUAGGAAUCGAUCCCUGUCUCCAUCAGUGGUUUGGCUGAAUUGAGUCUCGUUUGGGAGUAAGAAGAUUUACUCCGAUGGCGAAUAUGCCGGAGAAAUUAAACCAGUGUAAGCUUGAUGCUCGCCGUGAACAAUGCCUUUCGCAAGGUCCUGCAUUCAUUUUCUUUUCUUUUUUUGAUUUUUACAGUUGUGUAUUUUUCUUGCAUAAAUUAAAUUGGAAUCUUGCAUCCACUAAUUAUCUAGAGCUUGCUCUCUUUUUUUCAUUCACAAUGAAUUUCCUGGGCCCUUUGAUUGUAUUGGCAUAUCUUUCCUUUUAUAUAUUGUGACUGUCAGGAAGACGUAGGAUAACCUUGGUUAUUAUGGGUGCUUCAUAUGUAACCAUAUCUAACUUGGAUGUUGGAUAACCUUUAUUUUUGGUUGUUUCUGGUUGGUAGUCUUUGUGAUGAUCAGUUGGGAAGUGUAUAUAUGCCUGCUUGCUAUGGUUGUUUUAUUAUUAAUGAAACUUGCAAGUGUCCUGAGGUUUGUGAUGAUCAGUUGGGAAGUUGUUUAUUCUAAUGAAACAGAGAGCAGGUUGCGUAGGUUGUACUAUGGCUAUCAUGAAGAAUGUUUUAAGGUGUCUUUCGGAUCUUUUACCUGUUUGCUGUUUGCUGUUGCUUUUCUGCUGAUCUACCAGUCACUUUUCCAUCUAUUUCACCACCUUAGCUGCAAUUUUCUUCGAUGGAGGUUGUAGGAGUUGAAAUUCUCUCUCUGACAGAACUAUUAGCCAUUUCUUGGACUGGAUUUGGCUGUUGAUGAAAUGACUCUGCAUCAUAUUUGCAUUAAGUGCUUCUUGUACUAACUUUAUGGCUGCAGUCUGUUGCAGUCCAAGUUUCUCUGUCUUUGCAACUUGGUCAUCAACUUCCUAGAGAUUGUUGCUGUUUUUACUCAGCUCCAUAUUCAAGUUACUCAUCUCAUGGCUAUUGUUUCCAUCUCCA
RNA transcript from Spinacia oleracea (spinach), 1884 nucleotides. RefSeq lists it as uncharacterized. NCBI's taxonomy places the organism in Eukaryota, Viridiplantae, Streptophyta, Magnoliopsida, Caryophyllales, Amaranthaceae. The transcript has 11 exons. The record is from RefSeq and is a predicted model, not a curated record.